Oryzias melastigma (Indian medaka) is the source of this 1383-nucleotide long non-coding RNA. RefSeq lists it as uncharacterized. The record is from RefSeq and is a predicted model, not a curated record. The transcript has 2 exons. Lineage: Eukaryota; Metazoa; Chordata; Actinopteri; Beloniformes; Adrianichthyidae.
UUGAUUUAGACUUUCCGUGAUGGCAGAUUAAUACUUUAAAUGGAAAAAUAAAAAAUACAUAAAAAAAAUAAAAAUAAAACAAUCAAGACGCCGGCUGUGAACCUGCAGGCAAAAUGACACUCCAGACCACCAGAGGGCACUUCAACAGGUCUUCAGUUCACGUCAUCAGAACGGAGCCUCCUAAUGAGGCAGGUCAGCCGGUGCCACGGCGAGGAACUGGGUCAUCAGCUUCCUGGUUUUGGCUUCACAGGUCUGGCCGGAGGAACCAAAGGUGACAACACCUCUGGCACGCUGCCACUCUGCUGAGUCAGGAUUAGCCUGCAGCUCUCAGCCCCCCCCACCCGCCCGCCCCGAGCAAAAUGCAGCACUGCGAAGCAGCCUGAGGACAGAUUGCUGAGAAUGCACUAUGCCAAUGUCCCGAACCCUGAUUAUUCACAUCACAGCACCUCACACAUGCUACACUACCAGAAUACAAAGCACAUGUUACAUUAACAUAUUAAAACUAGCUAAUGGCUACAGUAGUUUGACAAAAAGCCAUUGUUUGGAGCGUUCAAAUCUCUUAAAAGUUUGAGAUCAAUUAUUUUCAGCUCCUUUCAGUGGUGCUAAGGUUUCAGAAGAUGCAGGCAGAGCACCGAUUCUGACGGAGAGUCAAAGCACCCAUUUGAAAAGGCAGUUUGGGAUUAAUAUCACUUGUGAAUGUUUGUGUUUUAUACAUAUUUUGUUCUACACAGCUUUUUAAAUAGUUAAUAAAAGACACAAAAAUGUAAGAAGUAUUCCACAUGGAACAGAAAAUACACUUACACGUUGUUCCAACAAUGGGUUUGUCCUUUCCUUCCAGUAGGUCCCAGAGGUGCACAGAUGCAUCGUCGUACUGGUCAGUUAACCUGCAAGAGUCCAGAUCAAGUGUCAGGAUAUGCAACAGAAAAAAACACAAAAAAAAAAGAUUUAUCACUGUUUAUUGAGGAAUAAAAGUCAAACGAACCUCACGUUUGGAUCACGUUCUGGUCCCACCAACUUGUAGAACUCAUCAAAAGCUGCCAGGUCUUCGUCGGUCAUCAGAGGUGAGCUGCAGACUCCCUGUUUCAGGUCCUGCCGCACAGCGCUGUCACCCAGCCGGUCCAAGAGAAACUGGACUUCCAGAACCGUCUUGAGUUUCCUCUGCUCCGCCUCUUCUCGCACCAACUGCUCCCUCCGCGCAGACUUCUUCACCACCUUCUGGAUCUGACCGUGAAGCACACAAACCACAAGACGUUAGAUUGGAAAAAGGUCAAGAUGGCUGCAUCUGCCCAACAUUUUCAAGUGAUGCAUAACAACAACUGAUCUUUUUGUUGUUCGAUUAAAGUUAAAUAGUUUGAAUAAAAGCAAUUUUUAGUCACUAUUGUA